UACGUAGGGUGCAAGCGUUAUUCGGAUUCACUGGGCGUAAAGGGUGCGCAGGCGGCCGUGUGUGUGAGGCGUGAAAGCCCGGGGCUCAACCCCGGAAUUGCACCUCAAACUACAUGGCUAGAGCAUUGGAGAGGGUAGCGGAAUUCACGGUGUAGCAGUGAAAUGCGUAGAUAUCGUGAGGAACACCAGAGGCGAAGGCGGCUACCUGGACAAUUGCUGACGCUCAGGCACGAAAGCGUGGGGAGCAAAAGGG
Molecule: ribosomal RNA, 253 nt
Filed under: uncultured bacterium
Lineage: Bacteria
Description: partial 16S ribosomal RNA
Rfam family: Bacterial small subunit ribosomal RNA
Source: RNAcentral